AGGGCCCCGUAGCGUGACCUGCGGAGGGAUCAUUACACAAAUAUGAAGGCGGGCUGGAACCUCUCGGGGUUACAGCCUUGCUGAAUUAUUCACCCUUGUCUUUUGCGUACUUCUUGUUUCCUUGGUGGGUUCGCCCACCACUAGGACAAACAUAAACCUUUUGUAAUUGCAAUCAGCGUCAGUAACAAAUUAAUAAUUACAACUUUCAACAACGGAUCUCUUGGUUCUGGCAUCGAUGAAGAACGCAGCGAAAUGCGAUAAGUAGUGUGAAUUGCAGAAUUCAGUGAAUCAUCGAAUCUUUGAACGCACAUUGCGCCCUUUGGUAUUCCAAAGGGCAUGCCUGUUCGAGCGUCAUUUGUACCCUCAAGCUUUGCUUGGUGUUGGGCGUCUUGUCUCUAGCUUUGCUGGAGACUCGCCUUAAAGUAAUUGGCAGCCGGCCUACUGGUUUCGGAGCGCAGCACAAGUCGCACUCUCUAUCAGCAAAGGUCUAGCAUCCAUUAAGCCUUUUUUUCAACUUUUGACCUCGGAUCAGGUAGGGAUACCCGCUGAACUUAA
This 555-nucleotide ribosomal RNA is filed under the name Alternaria alternata. Its description in RNAcentral is "eukaryotic LSU rRNA". The stretch from base 201 to 354 matches the Rfam family "5.8S ribosomal RNA". Lineage: Eukaryota; Fungi; Ascomycota; Dothideomycetes; Pleosporales; Pleosporaceae. The record is from RNAcentral.